Molecule: long non-coding RNA, 474 nt
Filed under: Trifolium pratense (red clover)
Lineage: Eukaryota; Viridiplantae; Streptophyta; Magnoliopsida; Fabales; Fabaceae
Description: long non-coding RNA (TPRA_LNC005891)
Source: RNAcentral
CCUAAUCUGAUAACUUAAAAACAGGUUUUUUUCCAGCAAUCACCUACAUGAGGAUCACGUUUAGCCUUCAUUGAAUGCCCUUCCAAAAUAAACAACAUAAGUCGUACAUCAAAACAUUACAAAAGGCAUUAAACAGUUGUGAAUUCGCAAGCAAACUUCUAUUUAAACUUGAUUAUGGUGUGUUAUCUGUAUGCAUAUUCCAAUAGUCAGCUGCUUUCAUCUCCAACACUCGACGGAGACCAUUGUGGGGACCCGUUAACAACCUCAACGCGAUUUUCAUCCUCACAGUCCGAUCGUCAAGCUGUAAUGUUUACAAACAAAGAAUUAUUACAAUAAAUAGAUGUGUCGUAUUUAGAUUCCAUUAACAAAAAAAAAGAAUAAAUAUUACCACUCCUGUCAUCUGCUCGUUGAACGAUUGUUCCAUGUUCAACCAUUCCGCCACCCACAACCCAGAAUUUUCGCUUCAAAAGUUGU